RNAcentral lists this ribosomal RNA (370 nucleotides) under uncultured soil bacterium. RNAcentral's name for it is "bacterial SSU rRNA". It matches the Rfam family "Bacterial small subunit ribosomal RNA", at positions 975 to 1368 of the family's 1533-position model. The record is from RNAcentral.
CACCUUUUGACAUGCCUGGACAAACCGAGAGAUCGGUCUUUCCCCUCGGGGACUGGGACACAGGUGCUGCAUGGCUGUCGUCAGCUCGUGUCGUGAGAUGUUGGGUUAAGUCCCGCAACGAGCGCAACCCUCGCUGUUAGUUGCCAUCAUUUAGUUGGGAACUCUAACAGGACUGCCGGUGCUAAGCCGGAGGAAGGUGGGGAUGACGUCAAGUCCUCAUGGCCCUUACAAGGUGGGCUACACACGUGCUACAAUGGUGACUACAGAGGGCAAAUCCCUAAAAGUCAUCUCAGUUCGGAUCGUCCUCUGCAACUCGAGGGCGUGAAGUUGGAAUCGCUAGUAAUCGCGGAUCAGCAUGCCGCGGUGAAUA